GGCCUAACACAUGCAAGUCGAGGGGCAGCACAAUAGAAGCUUGCUUUUAUGGUGGCGACCGGCGCACGGGUGAGUAACGCGUAUGCAACCUACCCUGUACUGGGGAAUAACUCGAAGAAAUUCGGACUAAUACCCCAUAGUGUAAUUGAUAGGCAUCUAUUGAUUAUUAAAGGUUACGGUACGGGAUGGGCAUGCGUUCCAUUAGCUAGUUGGUAUGGUAACGGCAUACCAAGGCUACGAUGGAUAGGGGGCCUGAGAGGGUGAUCCCCCACACUGGAACUGAGACACGGUCCAGACUCCUACGGGAGGCAGCAGUGAGGAAUAUUGGUCAAUGGGCGCAAGCCUGAACCAGCCAUGCCGCGUGCAGGAAGAAUGUCCUAUGGAUUGUAAACUGC
Molecule: ribosomal RNA, 395 nt
Filed under: uncultured organism
Description: bacterial SSU rRNA
Rfam family: Bacterial small subunit ribosomal RNA
Source: RNAcentral